This 231-nucleotide ribosomal RNA is filed under the name uncultured bacterium. Its description in RNAcentral is "partial 16S ribosomal RNA". It matches the Rfam family "Bacterial small subunit ribosomal RNA", at positions 15 to 237 of the family's 1533-position model. The record is from RNAcentral.
GAUCCUGCUCAGGAUGAACGCUAGCGACAGGCUUAACACAUGCAAGUCGAGGGGCAGCAUGAUUUGUAGCAAUACAGAUUGAUGGCGACCGGCGCACGGGUGAGUAACGCGUAUGCAACUUACCUAUCAGAGGGGGAUAGCCCGGCGAAAGUCGGAUUAAUACCCCAUAAAACAGGGGUCCCGCAUGGGAAUAUUUGUUAAAGAUUCAUCGCUGAUAGAUAGGCAUGCGUU